This 266-nucleotide ribosomal RNA is filed under the name uncultured bacterium. RNAcentral describes it as "partial 16S ribosomal RNA". It matches the Rfam family "Bacterial small subunit ribosomal RNA", at positions 524 to 788 of the family's 1533-position model. The record is from RNAcentral.
GACGAAGGGGGCUAGCGUUGUUCGGAAUUACUGGGCGUAAAGCGAGUGUAGGCGGUUGUCCCAGUCAGGCGUGAAAGCCUUGAGCUCAACUCAAGAAAUGCGCUUGAUACUGGAUGACUAGAGGACCGGAGAGGAUAGUGGAAUUCCCAGUGUAGUGGUGAAAUACGUAGAGAUUGGGAAGAACACCAGUGGCGAAGGCGGACUAUCGUGGACGGUUACUGACGCUAAGACUCGAAAGCGUGGGAGCAAACAGGAUUAGAAACCGU